This 1472-nucleotide ribosomal RNA is filed under the name archaeon. RNAcentral describes it as "bacterial SSU rRNA". It matches the Rfam family "Archaeal small subunit ribosomal RNA". The record is from RNAcentral.
CAAUACCCGUUGAUCCUGCGGGAGGUCGCUGCUAUUAGAGUUCGAUUUAGCUAAGCUAGUCAGGGGAUCGUAAGAUACCGGCGGAAAGUUCCGUAACACGUCGUUAAUCUACCCUUAGGUCAAGGAUAAUCUUGGGAAACUGAGUCUAAUACUUGAUAUGAGAUUGAUACUGGAAUGUACUUUCUCUGAAAGAUUUUGCCUAAGGAUGAGACGGCGGCCGAUUAGGUUGUUGGUGGGGUAAUGGCCCACCAAGCCGACGAUCGGUAGGGGCCAUGAAAGUGGUAGCCUCGAGGAGGACACUGAGAUAAGGGUCCUGACUCUACGGAGUAUAGCAAGCGCGAAAACUUUACAAUACACGAAAGUGUGAUAAGGGAACUCUAAGUGCUCAUGCAAUGCAUGGGCUUUUGCCGAGUGUAAAUAGCUCGGAGAAUAAGUGGUGGGCAAGACUGGUGCCAGCAGCCGCGGUAACACCAGCGCCACGAGUGGGGACCAGUAUUAUUGGGCCUAAAGCGUCCGUAGCCGGAUUAAUAAAUCUUUUGUGAAAUUGUUUGGCUUAACCUUACAGCGUGCAGAAGACACUGUUAAUCUUGAGACCGGGAGGAGUUAGAGGUAUGCCUGGGGUAGUGGUAAAAUGCUAUAAUCCUUGGUAGACCACCUGUGGCGAAGGCGUCUAACUAGAACGGGUCUGACGGUGAGAGAUGAAAGCUGGGGGAGCGAUCCGGAUUAGAUACCCGAGUAGUCCCAGCCGUAAACGCUGUGAGUUAGGUGUUGCGUAUUCUACGAGAAUACGCAGUGUCGUAGCGAAGGCGAUAAACUCACCGCCUGGGUAGUACGGUCGCAAGACUGAAACUUAAAGGAAUUGGCGGGGGAGCACAACAAGGGGUGCGGCGUGCGGUUUAAUCCAACUCAACACGGAGAAUCUCACCAGAGGCGACGGCAGGAUGAAAGUCAGAUUGAAGGUCUUACUAGACAAGCCGAGAGGUGGUGCAUGGCCGCCGUCAGCUCGUGCUGUGAAGUGUCCUGUUAAGUCAGGCAACGAGCGAGACCUGUGCCUACAAUUGCCAGCAACAUCUUUAGAUGGAUUGGGCACAUUGUAGGGACUGCCUUGGAAACAAGGAGGAAGGUGCAGGCAACGGUAGGUCUGUAUGCCCCGAAUCCUCUGGGCUACACGCGCGCAACAAUGGCAUGGACAAUGGGAUGCAACUCCGAAAGGAGAAGCUAAACCUCUAAACCAUGUCUCAGUCCAGAUUGUGGCUUGUAACUCAGCCACAUGACGUUGGAAUCCCUAGUAACCAGACGUUAGCAUCGUCCGGUGAAUAUGUCCCUGCUCCUUGUACACACCGCCCGUCAAGCCAACCGAGCAGGUUCUAGAUGAACCCUAGUCUAUUAAUUAGGAUGAAUCUGGGAUCAGUGAGGUGGGCUAAGUCGUCACAAGGUAGCCGUAGGGGAACCUGCGGCUGGAUCACCUCCUU